This 253-nucleotide ribosomal RNA is filed under the name uncultured bacterium. RNAcentral describes it as "partial 16S ribosomal RNA". It matches the Rfam family "Bacterial small subunit ribosomal RNA", at positions 524 to 776 of the family's 1533-position model. The record is from RNAcentral.
AACGUAGGAGGCAAGCGUUAUCCGGAGUUACUGGGCGUAAAGAGCGUGUAGGCGGCAGUUUAAGUGGCUUGUGAAAGCGCCCGGCUAAACUGGGCGAGGACAGGUCAGACUGCACCGCUAGAGGACGAUAGAGGGGUGCGGAAUUCCGUGUGUAGCGGUGAAACGUGUAGAGAUCCGGAGGAACACCAGUGGUGCAGACGGCGCCCUGGGUCGUACCCGACGCUGAGACGCGAAAGCAUGGGGAGCCAACGGG